UUUGGAGGGGAGAUUAGAGCCGUUUGAAGGGAGUUGUGAGAUCUUUCGGGAUUUCAAGGCUUCUUAGGACUUAUCUUUUAAUUUCUUACUAUCAAUUCUUUCUUUAUUUCUGCUUGCGCUGAAUCUUUAUCUAAUUUAUUUUUUUUGUUUUUAUUGUGUUUUCAGCCUUUUUCUAUCUUAAGGAAUCAGCCCAAAAAAAUCCCCAAUUUCUAGGGUUCUUCCAUACUCUUUUUGGGUAAAAUCAGAUUGUCGAAAUUUGGGGAAAACUAUCUUGGUGUUCAAUUGGGCAGAAUCGCAAUCUCCUCUAGGGUUUCAAGAUUC
RNAcentral lists this long non-coding RNA (321 nucleotides) under Gossypium raimondii (Peruvian cotton). Its description in RNAcentral is "long non-coding RNA (GRAI_LNC011304)". Lineage: Eukaryota; Viridiplantae; Streptophyta; Magnoliopsida; Malvales; Malvaceae. The record is from RNAcentral.